UUCAUAACAUCUGUCAUAGUUGUGAGACCGGAGCGAUUUUAAUAUUUCUUCCUGGAUAUGAUGAGAUAGCUUGAGGGACCGCAUUCUUUUUGAUGACAGGAGAUUUGCUGACCAUGCGCACAGAUUCUUUCUACAAAUACAGCAGAAACCAGCAUAACAGUCAAUGAUGUGGUAUUUGUUAUUGGCUCAGGCAAG
Long non-coding RNA from Vidua macroura (Pin-tailed whydah), 195 nucleotides. RefSeq lists it as uncharacterized. NCBI's taxonomy places the organism in Eukaryota, Metazoa, Chordata, Aves, Passeriformes, Viduidae. The transcript is spliced from 3 exons. The record is from RefSeq and is a predicted model, not a curated record.